Molecule: ribosomal RNA, 254 nt
Filed under: uncultured bacterium
Lineage: Bacteria
Description: partial 16S ribosomal RNA
Rfam family: Bacterial small subunit ribosomal RNA
Source: RNAcentral
CGGAGGGUGCAAGCGUUAUCCGGAAUCAUUGGGUUUAAAGGGUCCGCAGGCGGGUCCAUAAGUCAGUGGUGAAAUCCUACAGCUUAACUGUAGAACUGCCAUUGAAACUGUGGAUCUUGAAUAUGGUUGGAGUGGGCGGAAUGUGACAUGUAGCGGUGAAAUGCUUAGAUAUGUCACAGAACACCGAUAGCGAAGGCAGCUCACUAAACCAUUAUUGACGCUCAGGGGACGAAAGCGUGGGAUCAAACAGGAUU